GACGAACGCUGGCGGCGUGCUUAACACAUGCAAGUCGAACGGAAAGGCCCUGCUUUUGUCGGGUUCUCGAGUGGCGAACGUGUGUGUAACACGUGAGUAUCCUUCCCUUUACUUUGUGAUAUCUUCAGGCAACUGCGGCUAAUACCGGCUAGGUGCUCCUGCUGCAUGGUGGUCGUUGGAAAGUUUAGGCGGUUGUGGAUCGACUGGCGGGUUAUCAGCUUGUUGGUGGAGUAGUGGCUUACCAAGGCUUUGGCGGGUAGGCGGCCUGGGAGGUUGAACGGGGACCAGAGGACUGAGAGACGGAGCAGAGUGGAACGGGAGGCAGCAGUGGAGAAUAUUGUACAAUGAGGGGAAGCGUGAUAAAGCAGUGUCGGGAGCGGGAAGACGGCCAACGGGUGGGAAAGCGCAUUAGGAUGAGACGAAGCGUGAGUGACGGUAAUGGGAAAAGAAGCACCGGCUAACUACGUG
RNAcentral lists this ribosomal RNA (468 nucleotides) under uncultured bacterium. Its description in RNAcentral is "partial 16S ribosomal RNA". It matches the Rfam family "Bacterial small subunit ribosomal RNA", at positions 28 to 507 of the family's 1533-position model. The record is from RNAcentral.